RNAcentral lists this ribosomal RNA (253 nucleotides) under uncultured bacterium. RNAcentral describes it as "partial 16S ribosomal RNA". It matches the Rfam family "Bacterial small subunit ribosomal RNA", at positions 524 to 776 of the family's 1533-position model. The record is from RNAcentral.
UACGGGGGGGGCUAGCGUUGUUCGGAAUUACUGGGCGUAAAGGGCGCGUAGGCGGUCUGCUAAGUUGGAUGUGAAAACUCUGGGCUUAACCCAGAGCCUGCAUUCAAUACUGACAGGCUAGAGUUCUGGAGGGGAUAGCGGAAUUCCUGGUGUAGCGGUGAAAUGCGUAGAUAUCAGGAGGAACACCGGUGGCGAAGGCGGGUCUCUGGGCCGUAACUGACGCUGAGACGCGAAAGCGUGGGGAGCGAACAGG